Molecule: unclassified non-coding RNA, 381 nt
Filed under: uncultured Pseudomonadota bacterium
Lineage: Bacteria; Pseudomonadati; Pseudomonadota
Description: uncultured proteobacterium contains 16S-23S intergenic spacer region
Source: RNAcentral
UCCGGCUUAACGCCGGCAGUCUCCCUAGAGUGCCCAACUGAAUGGUGGCAACUAAGGACGAGGGUUGCGCUCGUUGCGGGACUUAACCCAACACCUCACGACACGAGCUGACGACAGCCAUGCAGCACCUGUGUGGACGCCAGCCGAACUGAAGGACCCCAUCUCUGAAGCCCAUACGUCCCAUGUCAAGGGUUGGUAAGGUUCUUCGCGUUGCGUCGAAUUAAACCACAUACUCCACCGCUUGUGCGGGCCCCCGUCAAUUCCUUUGAGCUUUAGCCUUGCGGCCGUACUUCCCAGGCGGAUUGCUUAAUGCGUUAACUUCGGCACUGAAGGGGUGAAUACCUCCAACACCUAGCAAUCAUCGUUUACGGCGUGGACUAC